Molecule: long non-coding RNA, 9959 nt
Filed under: Populus tremula
Lineage: Eukaryota; Viridiplantae; Streptophyta; Magnoliopsida; Malpighiales; Salicaceae
Description: long non-coding RNA (PTRE_LNC001084)
Source: RNAcentral
AAAGUUCAAAGAAGGGUAGGGGAGAGGAAAAAAAAUUUACUUUAAUAAGCAACUUCAACAGCUUCCUCCAGAAACAGCAUUAUGUUAUGCCCUUUUGGCAAAAUCACCAGCAUCAUCAUCUUCCUUGGAGUUUUUGUCCAAUGCAUCAUCUAGGUUAAAACCAUCACCACUGCUCUCAUUGGCACCAAACUGAUUGCCGCCACCAUAACCCAAUCCAGCAUUUCCAUCAUACCCACCAUCAACACUGGUGUUGGUAUAGCCAUCGCUGCUGCCAGCGCCAGCAGCAACACCAUAAUUCCCAGCACCACCGUCAUUAGUGUUUUGACCAGCAUAAUUAGUUUUGUCAUCACCAUAGCUAACAUUUGUCCCACCAUAGUUACCACCAUCAUUAGAGCCAUAUCCUCCACCGCCGCCAUAUCCUCCGCCACCGCUGUAUCCUCCGCCACCGUAUCCUCCACCGCCGCUGUAUCCCCCACCGCCGCCGUAUCCUCCACCGCCAUAGUUGCCAUAAUUAUUGUUAAAGGUACGCUGAGGCCUUUCAGUUGCAUAAUUCACCCUAACGCGGCGACCAUGAAGAUCCUGUGAGAAGCAAAAUUCAAAACAAAAUGAUAUGAACACUACGAUGAGGGGGAUAGGUGAUACAAGUGAAGAAUGUAAGCUCUCUCAACUAAGUUAAAUGACAGGGUGAGACGCAUUGAGAAUUUGAUGAUCAGAGAAAAAUUACAAUGGAAGAGAUUCUGCACUUCUCUCAGUUGAAAAUUAAUUUAGAGGAAAUGCUAAAAUAGUUCUGCACUUCUCAUCUCCACUUCCAGCCACAGAAAAAAGAAAAACAAUAAAGUAGCAAAUUACCUGUCCAUCCAUGGCCUGGAUGGCACUAGAGGCCUCCUCACUGGAGGUGUAAGUAAUGAAUCCAAAUCCUCUGGAUCUGCCAGUUUCACGAUCCAUAAUGAUUCUUGCUGCAACAAAAAUAAAACAAAUCAGCAAUUAACCUAAACUGAAAUUUGAAAUGCCAGCACAAAUGUUAGGAAGGAAACCAAGGAAAUAAACACACUAGCACAAACUGCACAGACACUGGUACACACACCCACAGGCAGACACCACAUAAAUUUUUCCUCUAAAACUGGGAAAAGUAACUUGGCAAGCCAAAUUACAUACCUUCAACAACAUUGCCAUAUUUAUCAAAGGCCUCUUUCAGACCGUUGUCAUCUGUCUGGAAAGAAAUACCUGCAAUGAGAUGUGAUAGGUUUCAGCACCAGCCAUUACACAGCAGGUCACCAAAACAAGAAGUGAAAAAAAUAAUAAAAGAAAAGAAGCACCUCCAAUGAAAAUUUUUGAGGAUGACAUGCAUCUUAAUGCUUGAUAGAUGGAUGGUCUUGAUGCAGAGAUCUCAGAACUGAUCUGCCUGUUAGCAGUCUGCCGUAACAUAUUUCCCACUUUAGUAAGAAACGCCAUCGUACAACCUAAGUGAAACAAAACCUUAGUCAGGAACCAAAAUAAACUAACCCCGUGGAAUAAUGAGCGAGGAGCUUUACACAUGUUGUGAAUGAUUGAUUGCCCAGCAAGAAGCGACAAGGCAAAAUCAGCCAGAGAUUUUUUUAAAUAAAAAAAAAUCAGUAAAAAAUCAGUUGCUUCAGAAGUACUUAAUUAGAACCAGAAAACCAGGGUCCAGUAACAACAAUACGAACAAAACAAUUUCAGUCUCGGUCUCUCCUUCAAUCCUGAUUAAGACCGCGGAUAAAAGGAAAAGACGAAGAAGAUAAAACUCAUAAAGUUACAAUCUUUUCUUUUCUUUUCUUUUCUCAUUAACACUUAACACAAAUCAAAUCAAAAGACGAGGUUAACAGCAUAUUUCAGUCUCAAUCAAUCAGAAACAAGUCCGAUCACAGUAAUAGAACAAAUAACUAGGGAUUACCUUCUUAUGUUUGGCUUCACUCCCUCUGGUUUUUGAAGGAUUCGACUAAAACCCUAUAUUGAGAAGUGGGGUUUAUGUAGGUCAAUGGUGGAGGGUUGUAUUAAGCGAGAGAAGAGAUCUUCACCGUUGGAUUAGAAGCGUGACGGUGCGGCUCCGGAUUCAGGCUUUCCACGUGUUCCUCUACGAGUGGGUUGUAUUUUCUUAUAUGUGACAGGCCACUUAGCUUUGACUGAAGAUUUCUAUUUUUCAGGGUCGGAGAUGCCAAAUAUCCUCACUGUGUUAAUCGAUUAUCCUGCCCUCUAAGUUAAAAUUGCUGUUGGCUGACGGUGUUGAAGAACUUGCUAAUAAUUAUUUUUUAUAAUAAUUUUAAUUUAAAAAUAUAUUAAAAUAAUAUUUAUUUUAAUUUUUUUAAAUUUAUUUUUAACAUCAACAUAUUAAAACAAUUUAAAAAUACUAAAAAAUUAUUUAAAAAAAAUUAAUUUUAUUACAAAACAUGUUAAAACUCAUUUCCAUGCACCCUAAUGGAACUUAUAAUCUUGUAUUUAUCCAAGUAAUAAUUAAUUAAAAAACUAAAACAUGUGGACUAAAUAUUGUUAAGCCAACAUUGUUUGCACGCUUACAAAAUAUUGUGGAUAUACUUUGUGUUUUUUAAUAAUUUAUUUUGAUUCUUAAAAUUUUAUUUUAGGUUUAGUCCUAACUGAAGACCAAUUAUUUUUUAUUUUUUAGGCAAUAGUAUAAUUAAAAUGAGAGGGAUUGUAAUGAAAAAAGCAUGGAUAAUGUGUUAGAAAUUAUUUUAAAAAUAUACUUAAAUCCUCAACUUUAAAAACAACACAAAUUGAACAAUUUAGGUCAUUUUAGAAUUCAAGAAAAUAAGUUUUGGUACAAAUAUUUAUUUAUAGUAUUUUUUAGUUUGAUUAGAAAGAGAAGAGGGGUUACAGGAUUUCACCAAUAAGAGAGAAGUUUGUUAUUUAAGCCAUUUUUUACUACUAAAAUAUAAUUUUUUUUAUCCAUAGGUUCUAUGAGAUGAAAGGGGCUUGAUGGUGAUUGUUUAGAACCUCAAUGUUUUCUAAAACAAAGGUAUAAGCCAAGAAAGAUAAAUCUAACAUAGUUUGAUUUCAUAUUUUUGGAUUAUUUUUUGGGUAUUUUGAGUUGAAGUAUUAGUUUAUGGAUGUUCCAAGGUGUUGGAGAUGUGUUUUUUUAUUGAAAUGACUUAAAAUUGGAUUUUUUUGACAAAAAAAAAAACUGCUUUAAUUUGAGCUCGCAAACAACAUGUCAUCUAUUUUGGCAAGUAACGUGUUACCUGUGUAUUUUUAUUUCUAGUGGUUUAAAAAAUAAUUCUUUGACUAAAGUUGAUCAUCCUCGUUGAUAAUAUUUUUGGUUUUAAAAAAACCUUUUUUCUCUGAUUAGAUUUUCCUAUCUCACUUACUUCUCUUUUUUUAUUUUUUUAUUUUUUUAUUUAUGUACUACUUUUUAUCUAUAUUUUUCUCAAUAUUAAGUUCCUUAAAGCAUCUCCAAUGGAAAAUGUUAUAUUGAAGAGCCAAAUGGAGAAAAUGGUUUUUUUGAAUAGUGUAAAUAUAUCUUUUUUUAUUAUGUGCAUUCCAAUGGUAAAAAGCUAUUUAAAAAAGCCAAUUAUAUUUUAAUAUAUUUCAUGUUAAAUUAAUUUUAAUAUAAUUAUAUAACUAAUUUAGAUAUUUUAUAUAUAAUAUAAUUAUGAUGUUAUUAAUUAUAUAAUUAAUAUGAGUAAUUUAUAAAAGUAAUAUAAAAUUAAUGAAGUAAUAUGAAAGUUAAAAGAUAUAAUUUAAAAUUUAUUUAUAUGAAUAUUUUUAAUUUUAAGUUUUAUAUGUUAUUGUUAAAAAUUUAAUUUUUUAAAAGUAAAUUCAAAUUCAAACUUUGAAAAAAUGACCGCCAACAUUUUAAAUUUUAAAUUUUAAAUUUUCAAAUUUUAAAAAAAUUACCGCCAACAUUUUAAGAUUUUACAAUUUGAAAAAAUAAUUCAUCUAUAAAUAUUCUCAUAUACCUUAACAUUUUUUCUCGUCAUUUUCUUCUCUCCAAUCUUUGUUAUAUUUCAUUAAAAUUCAUCAUGAAUCAUUCUAAUUUUAAUUUUUAUGAUGCUUUUGAUUUUGAUGAUGACAAUCUUGUGUUUGCUGAAGAAGAAUCGAAUAAUCAAGGGCGGAGAACAGGGUAUCAUGGCUCUAUUCCCGGUCACAAUAUUGUCAAUCGUAAUAGAAAGGAAGGUGAGUUAAAGUUGUAUAAUGAUUAUUUUGCAGAAAAUCCUAAAUUCACUGAAAGUCCAUUUCGAAGAAGAUUUAGGAUGAGUCGUCGUCUUUUUCUUCGGAUCGCAAAUGCAGUGGAAGCUCAUAAUCCAUAUUUCAAACAAAUGACAGAUGUUCUUAGUUUAUCUUGCCUUCAAAAGAUAACUGCGUCUCACAGAAUACUUGCAUAUGGUAUUCCUACAGAUCUUACUGAUGAAUAUCUUCGAAUUGGAGAAACCACUAUGAUAGAAAGUCUUAGAGCUUUCGUCAAAGCAAUCAUAAAAGUUUUUUGGUAAUUGGUAUCUAAGGGCACCAAACGAGGCCGAUAUUUGUCGAUUAUUAUCAAUUGGAGAGCAGCGUGGAUUUUCAGGGAUGUUAGAGAGCAUUGACUGUAUGCAUUGGAAAUAGGGGAAAUGCCCAAUUGCAUGGCAUGGGAUGUAUGGUGGUCAUUGUCGUGAACCAACUAUAAUUCUAGAAGCGGUGGCUUCACAAGAUCUUUGGAUAUGACAUGCCUUUUUUGGAAUGCCUGGAUCAUUAAAUGAUAUUAAUAUUCUUGAUCGGUCAUUUAUCUUUAUUGCACUUGCUGAAGGUUGUACUGCUCCUGUUAAUUAUACAAUUAAUGGGCAUGAAUAUACAAUGGGAUACUAUUUAGCAGAUGGGAUUUAUCCUAAUUGGUCAACCUUUGUUAAGACAAUUCCAAGACCAUUAGGAGCAAAGAGAAAAUAUUUUGCAAGCAAGCAAGAGUCUGCAAGAAAAGAUGUGGAGCGGGCAUUUGGGGUGCUCCAAUCUCGUUUUGCAAUUAUACGUGGACCUGUUCGAUACUGGGAUGAAGAAACGUUGCAUAUAUUAUGAAAGCUUGCAUAAUAAUGCAUAAUAUGAUUAUUGAGGAUGAAGGAGAAUACCUUGGAUUUGACCAUGAACAUGAAGUCAAUUCCUUUAUAUCAGUGUCACAUGGUGAAAUACCAAACUAUGAUUUUCUUCAAACUCAUAAUCGAAUUAGGGAUAGAGCAACUAGCUCUCAACUACAAGAAGAUUUGAUUGAAUAUUUUGGGAACAAUAUGGCAACGAGUAGAAUCUUUAGAUUUGAACUUCUUAUGUUAUCAUAAUUUUCAAGUUUUUUAUGUUUUUUUUUCAUUAUGUUGUUAUCUUUUAAGUUAAUUAAUCCUACUUAUUAUUGUUAAGUGUUAGGAACUUCAAAAAAGUAUUAUGAAUUGAUAUCAAUUUCAUAACAAUAUAUUUAAAAUAACCAAGAAUUUUCUACAUAUUUAAUUAAAAAUACAUUACAUUACAAUAAAUCAAUCAAAGUUAAUUAAAAAUUAAAACCCCUCUUUUGCAUAAUUUCUAACUUUCUAUUUUGAAAAUACAGAAAUUGGAUCCAAAUUAGAAAUAUCAUUUUCAUAAUUUGUUCUUCUUUCUCAAUCCUGUCCAAUUCUUGUUUCUCUUGACUUUGUUGAAUCAUCAUGGCUUGUUGCUCUAACAUAAUUUUCUGUCUUGUUUCUUCUGAUCCUCAAUUUCAACUAGAGUAUCCUGAAUUGUUGUAAGAGAUUGUUACAGUUACCUCCCCAACUUUAUUUUCCUUGUCUAUUUAAGUCGUUCCUUUGCAGCCUUCUGACCGAUUGGUCUAUCUUGAUAAAUCAAUGGUUCACUAUCUUCUCCUAAACUAACAAAUCAGGGUAGAUGGAGUUGAUGAAGCCGGACUUGCAUUGACAUGACUUUCUUGUUUCUUGUUUGACCUUUAAUGUUGACUUGCACGCUCAAAUUGCCAUUUGGGUUCUUUUCUUAAGAUAACCCAACAAUGUUCUAGUUGAAAUCGUUUGCCAACGCAAAAAGCAUAUAUUUGCCGAGCAUCAUUAAUCUGGUAAAAAAUAAAUAAAUAAAAUAAUGUUAAAAUAUGUGUUAAACAAUUUAACAUAGAAAUGAAUAUUAACAUUACCCUUGAUUCUUCGGUCAUUCCACUUUGCUGACGAUUUUCAAUUUGAGUAACAAAUUCAACAAAUUUAUCGACUUCUCUAUUUAUUUCUUGCCAUCUACUUGAGAUGCUUAUUUGGGAACGAUUAUUCAAGUUUCCUCCAUUCUCUACAAAGUAAGCAUGUACGUGAGCCCAGAACUGUUUUGUUUGUUGUUCAACUCCUGUAAUUGGAUCCUUGCUUGUAUUUAGCCAUGCAGAGACAAGUAAACAAUCCUUCUCUAGUGAGAAAUUUUUACUUCUUUGUGAUUUUUUUGCCGAAUGGACAUUUAAAUUCGAGUAUGUUAAGUCAUUAAUUAAUUAAUUAGAAUCACUUGGUUGAGAGAGAAUAUCUUCUGACUCACUCAUAAGAAAGUUGGUAUAAGAGCUUGGAAAAUUUGAAUCCAUCUACAUUAAAAAAAAAAAAACUCAAGUUAAAACCUUAUAAGAGAGUGUAAAAGAAGCUUACAUUCAAUGUCUAGCAAUUUUGUAGUUUUCAUACAUGUGAAUUAAUAAUAAGCAUUGCCUCCUACUUGUUCUAACAUAACAAUUUGACCAUUUUUUGGAACUAAAAUAGAAUUGAUAUACUGGUUUAAUUGCAUUUUCAACAAGACAAAAUAUAAUUGACCUCAAAUUAAAACAGAAAAUCAAAAAUAAAUUUUAAAUAUGUCACUCUAUCUUUUUAUCAAUAUCAACUACCAUUAUUAAUUCCUCUUAAUUUUAUCAAAGAUAACAACAUAAAUAAAAAUUGUCUUCUUUAACCCAUAUUAAAAACAUAAAAUAAUAAAGAAAUAAAAAUCAUCACAAAUAUUAAAUUAACAACAAAAGGUCUAAAAAAUCAAGAGAUAUAAAAGAGAAAAUAGAAAAAGCUUUUAAACAAGCAUACCUUUUAAUUUCAGCUAAUUAACACUACCGAUGUUAUUAAUUAACUGGAGAAUAAUUAAUUCUUGUUUUUCUAAAUUUGAGAGAAGGGUGGGGCACAAUACAAAAUUUUAGAACUACAACUUUUUUCCUCUUGCAUUUAAAGAAAAUUUCUCUUACAUUUACAGAAAAAAAAAAAAAGAGUUUUUGGCCAACAGCUAUAAAAAUAGUCGUUGGCCAAUAGUUAUUUAUUUUGGCCAUUUCUACAGUGAAAUGUAGUUAGUUGGCCAGCAAACAAAUAGCCAAAAUAGCUAUUUGUUUGGGUGCUAUGUUGGAAUGAAAGAAUUGAAAGAAUAAAAGCUAAAAUACAAUAUUUAGCAUUUGUCUUUUCAUUUGCCUCAUGCGUGCGUUGGAGAUGCUCUUACUUUAAAUUAUGUUGGUAGCCAUGGCAUGAUAUUUAGCUUCUUGGUACAUUCAAUUGUUUAAUUGUUUAUUUGAUUUCCAUGAAUUAAAAGAGUUUUAAAAAAGAUACAAAUAUCCUAUGAUGAAUCACCUUGUGGUAGGACAACUGCUCAUUAUGAUAAUAAGCUUCAAAUGUUGCUCACCAUCUCUGAGAGUGAGCUUCAAAUGUUGUUCCACAGGGAAUUUAUCAAGUCAUGCUCCCGGAAAUCCUACAUCCUGUAGAAUAUCAAGUGCAUAUUUGUUUUUGAGAUUUAGAGAUACAAUGUUUUAGCAUGAGACUUCAAUUCCCAGAAAAUAUUUCAAAUUACCAAAGAUAUGGGAUUGUUUAAGAAAGUAAUCCUUGAAAAGUUCCAUGUCUCUCACGAGCAUAUCAUCAAUGUGUACAUGUAAUGUAGUAAAAAAACAAAAAAAACUUGCCUUGAACUUUGGUUGAAAGAGAAUAAUCUCUUUUGGUUUGCUGAAAACUGACCUUUUGGAUAGCUUGACGAAUCGAGAAAACUAGUUACGUGAGGUUUGUUAUAAUCCAUAAAGAUUUAUUGAAACAUACCAAGUUUUUUCCUCAUCGUAGAGUCACGAAGGAGGAUCCAUGUACACCUUUUCAUCUAUGUCGUCAUGAAAAAAGGUAUUUUGGACAUACGAGAGGCAAUAGAGAGUAGUAAUCUGUGCUGCGGGGGAGAAGAUCUCUUGAUUGUCGGUGCCCUUAACAUGAGUAUUUCAUGUAUAUUAUUAUUUAAAUGGAAUUUUAAGCAUCAAGUGCCACCAAAAAGCACAGCAAGACAGCUAAGGUGGACUGAAAUUCAAAAACAUGCUUGCGCGAUUAAAAGGCUGUUGUUGUUUUAAGCACCACAACAUUCAUUUCAAACACAAAGGAAGCAAAUACGAAAAGCUAGCAACCUUGCACAAAUCAAGAAAUAUCCGUGGGAAAGCAGCUCGGUUCAAAAUGCCAUUGGCUUGGUUAAUGGAAGAAGGUAGAAUCAAACAUGAAACAUGCAUAAAAGAAAGCAAACAGAGCUAAAGAAAACCAGCUCCAUCUGAAGACAUAAGAUCUGAAAAUGAUAUAGCAAGCCUCAGGAAAAACUUUUAAAAAAUAGAAGCAGCAGCGCAAACCAAUCAAAUUUAGGAACAACAAAGCGAAAGCAACAACAUGCAAGGGCUGAACAGCCCAGCUAGGUUGAUACAAACAACAUAAGCCCUUAAACGCUCUCAAAAGUCAAAACUAUCACCUCUCUGUCCCCCCCCCCCUAUAUCUUUGACAAUUUUAGCUGAAAAGAAAUGAUGGCUUCAACAAUCCCAGCUUCGCUUUAUGUAAGUAUUGCGGUUUAAAAAUAAUAGAUUUUUAAAAAAUAUGUUUAUUUAAAACUGAUAAGAUGAAUUUUUACAUGCAACAUAAAUAAAAAUGCAAGUCUCCAUUAAUCCAGUGCAAGGAAACAAAAACUAUAUGGCAAUUGGCAAACCAAACAGUUUUUUCUAUGUGGUUAAACAAUAAGCAAAAGCUACCACAAAACAAAACAGACACUUACCAUAAUUUUAGGCCCCAUACCACAAUUUUAGGCUCUAUUUUUUUUUUUUUUUUGCACAAUAUACUAUGAUCUAUAUUUUUCCCUUAUCACAAAUUUAAAAAUAUUUGAUUAACCAGUACAUAUCACAAUUUUAUAUAAAUCCCACUAAAAACUCUUUCUUGAAACAUUGAUUCAAAAAAAACUAAAUUUUAUAACACCUAAAAUGUGUUUAGCAUUGUAAUAGUUUUUAUAGUUAUAGUCCAACAAAAGCAAGUUCAAGAAAUCAUUUUGAGAUGAUGUUUUUAAAAAAUAGAUUUAAAAAGUUAUAUUUGGUUAAAACUACUCUGUGACAUGCAAAAUAAAUAAAAAUCAAGUUAUUUUAAUUUUUACAAAACUAAAAUUUCAAACAAAGCUAUAUACAAGACCUUGGUUUUUUUUUUUUUUUUUUGGUUAUUCUCUAUGAUUAGAAAAAAGGCGGUAUCUAUCAAGCAAAACCUACACUAAUAUUAGUUUUACCCAUCCCUCUGAAAAAACAGUAGCAAACAGAACCACCAACUUGAAGCAGACAAUUUUUCAGUCACCACUCACCAAUACUGCUUAUGAAGUUGCCAAAUAAUGAGCAGCCGUAGAGAGAAACUGAAAUUAUUUUCUAAUCAAUUCUGUUUCUUAAAGAAAACACUUCAAAGUGAUGCUCUUCACAUAACCAAAUCCGAAAUAAGUGAUAUAACAAAGUUCAAAGAAGGGUUGGGGAGAGGAAAAAAAAUUUACUUUAAUAAGCAACUUCAACAGCUUCCUCCAGAAACAGCAUUAUGUUAUGCCCUUUUGGCAAAAUCACCAGCAUCAUCAUCUUCCUUGGAGGUUUUGUCCAACGCAUCAUCUAGGUUAAAACCAUCACCACUGCUCUCAUUGGCACCAAACUGAUUGCCGCCACCAUAACCCAAUCCAGCAUUUCCAUCAUACCCACCAUCAACACUGGUGUUGGUAUAGCCAUUGCUGCAGCCAGCGCCAGCAGCAACACCAUAAUUCCC